This 1136-nucleotide long non-coding RNA is filed under the name Numida meleagris (helmeted guineafowl). Its description in RNAcentral is "lncRNA (ENSNMEG00000000483.1)". The record is from RNAcentral. Lineage: Eukaryota; Metazoa; Chordata; Aves; Galliformes; Numididae.
UCUGGAGUAGCAGCAUGUUUCUGUUUACCAGAUCGUAAGCAUAUUGGGUGCGAGGCUUUAGCCUGAGGAGGGCUCAUGGUAUUUAUAUUCACAUACAUAUAGAUAAAGGCUGCUCCAAAAGUACUGCCUCCUUUUUUUUUUUUAUAUUGGCCCAUGGCAUCAGAGGUAGAUGUUUGUGGUAUGGCAGUAAAGGCUGAACCUUCCUACCUUCCACCUUGAAAGGUACCUGGCAAUUCUGGAAAUGCCUGUCAAGUAGUGAAAAUUUUCAGUAUUUCUAGACAGAAGGAGAAAAAGUUUUAGAAAAUCCACGUAUUAGUCUUUGGUAACUUUUCUAGGCAUCAUUCUAUUUUCCUUUUUUUCCCAUUGCACUGGUACUGGUAGAAAUGUAUCCAUCAGUUUUUAACUUUAGUUUCUGUAACAAUUGUUUUAGUAAUCAAACAUAUUAACUAGAGUUAGCACAUUCUCUAAUACUACAAAUUUAUAAUUCCAUGAGGUUGAAGGAAGUCAAAUAAAAAGUAGACCCUUAAAUGGGGAACAUUUUUUUUUAAUAUGGAAAACCAAGCCUAUUUUUAACCUUUGGGCAGCCCAGGCUACUACACAUUUGCUUUUAAGUGCUAGAGAAAGAAAAGAAAUAAAUAACACAAAAACUAGUAUAACAUCCACAGACCUCAAGACAAGGAGCCAAAUAUGCAACCUGCAAAUAUUAUGCAACUGAGCUUCAUAUAGAAUUAGAUCAUAGUAACUAUGGAGAAAGCACUGUGAGGAACAGGUUUAUCACAUUGUUUUCAUGGUUGCCAGUUGGAUGCAGAACUAUAUAAAAUCAGUGAGACCUUUCAGGACAACCACUCACUAUCUGCUAUGUGUUAUGUUUUUCCUCCCACACACAAAGGCACACCAGGUCAGCAGACCCUGUCCUCUGGAAAAUGAUCUUGGGUGUUUUACACUGAAGGCUUAAAGGAGUUACUGCUUUGUGAUCCAGCCUAACAAGACGGAACUCCCAUUGGUAUCCUGCAAAUAGCCUUCUAUUGUCACUGUAUAUUUAUUAUUCUACAUUGUUUGUGGCAUCCUCUCUUUAUCUUCUUAUUUUUGAAUUCUGGAGAUGUUAAAAUAAAUAUGGCUUUGUGAUUUUUGGACCA